UGCUGCAGCAACGAGAGUGGGAGCACCUGGAGCGCGAGCUCGGAAGGAGAAUCCACGAGUUGUAAGAAAAUGGCAGACAAGCCGGACAUGGGGGAAAUCGCCAGCUUCGAUAAGGCCAAGCUGAAGAAAACCGAGACGCAGGAGAACACCCUGCCGACCAAAGAGACCAUUGAACAGGAAAAGAGGAGUGAAAUCUCCUAAAAGCAUAGGAAGAUUUCCCCACCCCACCCCACCCCCCCCCGUCAUCUCCAAGCCCCCCUCGUGAUGUGGAGAAAGACCCACCUGCAAGAUGGGCGGGAGCCACAAGCUGCACUGUGAAACCCGGGCACUCCGAGCCGAUGCCACCGGCCCGCGGGUCUCUGAAGGGGACCCCUCCACUAAUCGGACUGCCAAAUUUCACCGGUU
Non-coding RNA from Mus caroli (Ryukyu mouse), 405 nucleotides. The record is from RefSeq and is a predicted model, not a curated record. Lineage: Eukaryota; Metazoa; Chordata; Mammalia; Rodentia; Muridae.